Molecule: ribosomal RNA, 492 nt
Filed under: uncultured bacterium
Lineage: Bacteria
Description: partial 16S ribosomal RNA
Rfam family: Bacterial small subunit ribosomal RNA
Source: RNAcentral
AGUGAACGCUGGCGGUAGGCCUAACACAUGCAAGUCGAACGGCAGCACAGUAAGAGCUUGCUCUUACGGGUGGCGAGUGGCGGACGGGUGAGGAAUACAUCGGAAUCUACUUUUUCGUGGGGGAUAACGUAGGGAAACUUACGCUAAUACCGCAUACGACCUACGGGUGAAAGCAGGGGAUCUUCGGACCUUGCGCGAUUGAAUGAGCCGAUGUCGGAUUAGCUAGUUGGCGGGGUAAAGGCCCACCAAGGCGACGAUCCGUAGCUGGUCUGAGAGGAUGAUCAGCCACACUGGAACUGAGACACGGUCCCGACUCCUACGCGAGGCAGCAGUGGGGAAUAUUGGACAAUGGGCGCAAGCCUGAUCCAGCCAUACCGCGUGGGUGAAGAAGGCCUUCGGGUUGUAAAGCCCUUUUGUUGGGAAAGAAAAGCAGCAGGUUAAUACCCCGCUGUUCUGACGGUACCCAAAGAAUAAGCACCGGCUAACUUCGUG